RNAcentral lists this ribosomal RNA (235 nucleotides) under uncultured bacterium. RNAcentral's name for it is "partial 16S ribosomal RNA". It matches the Rfam family "Bacterial small subunit ribosomal RNA", at positions 96 to 334 of the family's 1533-position model. The record is from RNAcentral.
UGGCGGACGGGUGAGUAAUGUCUGGGAAACUGCCUGAUGGAGGGGGAUAACUACUGGAAACGGUAGCUAAUACCGCAUAACGUCGCAAGACCAAAGAGGGGGACCUUAGGGCCUCUUGCCGUCGGAUGUGCCCAGAUGGGAUUAGCUAGUAGGUGGGGUAACGGCUCACCUAGGCGACGAUCCCUAGCUGGUCUGAGAGGAUGACCAGCCACACUGGAACUGAGACACGGUCCAG